Engraulis encrasicolus (European anchovy) is the source of this 1597-nucleotide long non-coding RNA. RefSeq lists it as uncharacterized. The record is from RefSeq and is a predicted model, not a curated record. NCBI's taxonomy places the organism in Eukaryota, Metazoa, Chordata, Actinopteri, Clupeiformes, Engraulidae. The transcript is spliced from 4 exons.
CCACUGACGUGUAUAGUAUAACUGGACUGCGGAUGUUCGAUGUGUUGUGAAGCAACGGCUGGGGGCGGGACAUGGGACGAUUUUUGGGCGGAAGAAGGAAGUAGAGCGCCUUUUUCCAUUGAUCUCUAUGGUGGACUUGAAGCCAUAUAGUUCCUAGGCAAUUCUUGCCGAGUCGGCCCUGUUUCGUUAAAACGGUAGUCUCCCCUCCCUCCCAAACAACCCAGAUAUUUUUUUCGGGCUGACCCUUUAUUUAAGAAAGCUAUUAAAAUAGUUUAAAUGACCAAUGAGCAUGGCUAUUUGGGUUGAUUGGCAGUUGCCAUUCUUUAGAAUUAUUGUUUUGAUUGACAGGCAGGCCGUUGUCAAGGAGAAGGGCGAGUCUCGCGGCGUCUCCAGGGGAAGCCCCCUCCCUCCCUGCUGCAUUACUUUCAACCAGCUCUGCUUUCAACAGCUUCAUUACUGCGAUGGGUUAUUUAAUUUUGGUACACUUUCCCCACAAAUAUGCGUUGUUGUACUUUUGGAUGUACUUCUCCGUACUCUGUAAGGACCUCUGCAGUUUUGGUAAGUAAAAUAAAAACAUGUAUAUACGUGGCUGAUUGACCAAAAUGACUGAGCUUUGUUAAACAAACACGUACGACAAUGCUAGCUUGUUAUUAGCCCAAGACAGCAUGCUGAUCUUUCAGUGUUUGAUGAUCUGUCGGCUUGUCAAGUAACUUAAUUAUAAUUUGAAUGCCAUUGCUUUUGAAAGCAAAAUGUGUCUGUUUGGCGUGCGUCAGGUGUAAUUCCCUCCUUCCGUACCGUAGCCAAGUCCUUACAUCAAGAUGAGUAAACAUUUCACUACCAUUCUGGCACUAUGCUGGCCAGUGGCCACAUCGGAAAAGCAACGUAGUCUAGCUGUGUUCCUCCGUCAACUGUUAAAUAUUGUUUGUUUCUGUGUUGCCAAAUUGCUAGUUGGUGAUGAAAUGAUGGUCAUUGGUACGUUCGUUUUCAGUAUGCAAAUUGCGUCAUUAAUGUUGACUGUACUGAGUGACGAGUGCAUAGUGUAAUGCAAAUUGUGUCAUUAAUGUUUAAUUGUAGGCCUACUGACGAGUGCAUUGUGUAGUAAACAUUUCCCCAUCCUCAUGUGACAUGGUUUCAUUCUGUAGGCAAACAACAAACCACACUUCACCUGGAAAACAGAGCCAGGACUCACUGUCAGAUGUCUGAAAAUGUACAGUAGGCUACACGCCAGCAGGUCUCACCAUAGUCAACAUCAUCAAGGAUUGUCACUCUGACCUGAGAAGAGGCCCCAUAGAGACACGGACAAGGACCAGCCACUGUUGCCAGUGCACAACUGAGGACCCGACCAGCCUGCUGCCAUCUAUGAUACUAUAUAGUACCCGCGGAGCGGUCUGAAGACGUGGAGUACACUGCAGCAGGUAUCACAUGACCAAGGACUUGGACAACGUCUCUGUUUACAUCUAUAGUGUAUUACACAACUGAAGAUGUGCACAGUACGCUACUGCCUGCAUCCUACCACCACAGAGGAUCCGAUAUGCAGAACCAGCUUCAAAAACCAUUGCAAUUAUGAAACACAGUUAAUAAAUGCUUAUAUACAGCA